AUUUAAUGGUUUUCUAUUUAACAAUGUGUUUUGUUUGUACCUGGAGGGGGAACACCAUUGUUUUGAGCAUUUAUACAUGCUUUUCAUGGAUUUUAAUUUUAAGUUUAUUAUUUAUUUUAUUUUAUUUUAUUUUUUUGUGGUUGUCUGCUAUAACUUUUCUCUGUUUUCUUCUGGCAACAAAUAAGCUUCCAAUGGUAAAGAAACUCAAGCCAAGAGGGAGAAAUCAAAGGAGAAGGGUCAGUUGACACUCUCCACUGCUGAACCUCCUAAUCCUACAACAAGUGAUCCUGAACAUAAACAGAGAGCAGACUAGCAUACAAGCAUCUGCAUCAAGUGUGACAUCUGAUAAAGAUGAAGAUGCCCCAUCUGAAAAUUCUGCUGCUGCUGUGUCCAAUAAUUUUACAGACCAAAAAAGUACAGAUGUUUUUGGCAAGUUGUGGAAAUUGAAGCCAUUGCAAAGAGAAGGAACUGCCAUUAUCAGUCAUCA
Molecule: long non-coding RNA, 487 nt
Organism: Magnolia sinica
Lineage: Eukaryota; Viridiplantae; Streptophyta; Magnoliopsida; Magnoliales; Magnoliaceae
Exons: 2
Source: RefSeq, a predicted model, not a curated record